GAGGGUAUAGCUCAAGUGGUAGAGUGCAUGCUUAGCAUGCACAAGGUCCUGGGUUCAUUUCCCUGUACCUUCU
This 73-nucleotide transfer RNA is filed under the name Camelus bactrianus (Bactrian camel). It matches the Rfam family "tRNA". From Rfam's summary of the family: Transfer RNA (tRNA) molecules are approximately 80 nucleotides in length. Their secondary structure includes four short double-helical elements and three loops (D, anti-codon, and T loops). The record is from Rfam by way of RNAcentral. RNAcentral also lists the same sequence under 1 other name. Lineage: Eukaryota; Metazoa; Chordata; Mammalia; Artiodactyla; Camelidae.